CCUACGGGAGGCAGCAGUGGGGAAUAUUGGUCAAUGGGCGGAAGCCUGAACCAGCCAAGCCGCGUGAGUGAAGACGUUCCUAUGCAUUGUAAGCCUCUUUAGCCGGGGAGCAAUGCCGGGCUAGCGUGCCCGGAGGGAGAGUCCCAGCACGAUCAGCAUCGGCCAAAACCGCGCCAGCAGCCGGGGUAAUACGGAGGAUGCGAGGGUUAUGGGGAUGUAUUGGGUUAAGGGGGUGCGUAGGCGGAUGUCAAAGUAAGCGGUAAAAUGUCCGGGCUCAACCCGGGCCGGCCGUUGAAACUGGGGAUCUUGAGUGGGCGAGGAGUAUGCGGAAUGCGUGGUGUAGCGGUGAAAUGCAUAGAUAUCAGGCAGAACUCCGGUUGCGAAGGCAGCAUACCGGCGCGCGACUGACGCUGAGGCACGAAAGCGUGGGGAGCGAACAGGAUUAGAUACCCGUGUAGUC
Molecule: ribosomal RNA, 460 nt
Filed under: uncultured bacterium
Lineage: Bacteria
Description: partial 16S ribosomal RNA
Rfam family: Bacterial small subunit ribosomal RNA
Source: RNAcentral